GGUCUGUUAGUGUAGCGGUCAACACGUCCCCCUGUCACGGGGAAGAUCAUGGGUUCGAAUCCCAUACAGACCGCCA
This 76-nucleotide transfer RNA is filed under the name Pseudomonadota bacterium. RNAcentral describes it as "Proteobacteria bacterium (marine metagenome) tRNA-Asp". It matches the Rfam family "tRNA". From Rfam's summary of the family: Transfer RNA (tRNA) molecules are approximately 80 nucleotides in length. Their secondary structure includes four short double-helical elements and three loops (D, anti-codon, and T loops). Lineage: Bacteria; Pseudomonadati; Pseudomonadota. The record is from RNAcentral.